Molecule: ribosomal RNA, 540 nt
Filed under: Vishniacozyma victoriae
Lineage: Eukaryota; Fungi; Basidiomycota; Tremellomycetes; Tremellales; Bulleribasidiaceae
Description: partial large subunit ribosomal RNA
Rfam family: Eukaryotic large subunit ribosomal RNA
Source: RNAcentral
UGAACCGGGAUGAGCUCAAAUUUAAAAUCUGGCGUCUUUCAGGCGUCCGAGUUGUAAUCUAUAGAGGCGUUUUCCGCGCCGGACCGCGUCCAAGUCUCUUGGAAUAGAGUAUCAAAGAGGGUGACAAUCCCGUACUUGACGCGACAACCGGUGCUCUGUGAUACGUUCUCAAUGAGUCGAGUUGUUUGGGAAUGCAGCUCUAAAUGGGUGGUAAAUUCCAUCUAAGGCUAAAUAUUGGCGAGAGACCGAUAGCGAACAAGUACCGUGAGGGAAAGAUGAAAAGCACUUUGGAAAGAGAGUUAAACAGCACGUGAAAUUGUUAAAAGGGAAACGAUUGAAGUCAGUCGUGUGAAAGGUAUUCAGCCGUCUCUGGCGGUGUAUUUGCCUUUCACGGGUCAACAUCAGUUUGAUCCGGUAGAAAAAGGCAGGAGGAAGGUGGCACCCUCGGGUGUGUUAUAGCCUCUUGUCAUAUGUGCCGGACCAGACUGAGGAACGCAGCUUGCCGCAAGGCCGGGGUUCGCCCACGUACAAGCUUAGGAU